GUGUCAGCAGCCGCGGUAAUACGUAGGGUGCGAGCGUUGUCCGGAAUUAUUGGGCGUAAAGGGCUCGUAGGCGGUUUGUCGCGUCGGGAGUGAAAACACGGGGCUUAACCCCGUGCCUGCUUCCGAUACGGGCAGACUAGAGGUAUGCAGGGGAGAACGGAAUUCCUGGUGUAGCGGUGAAAUGCGCAGAUAUCAGGAGGAACACCGGUGGCGAAGGCGGUUCUCUGGGCAUUACCUGACGCUGAGGAGCGAAAGUGUGGGGAGCGAACAGGAUUAGAUACCCUGGUAGUCCACACCGUAAACGUUGGGCGCUAGGUGUGGGACUCAUUCCACGAGUUCCGUGCCGCAGCUAACGCAUUAAGCGCCCCGCCUGGGGAGUACGGCCGCAAGGCUAAA
Molecule: ribosomal RNA, 396 nt
Filed under: uncultured bacterium
Lineage: Bacteria
Description: bacterial SSU rRNA
Rfam family: Bacterial small subunit ribosomal RNA
Source: RNAcentral